GCGGCAGGUUUUCCCAUGGAGCCGGUCCAUUUGCUCCCAUUUCCCCCCAUGGUUUGCCCUGAGGGCGGUCCCUGUUGUCCCAAGUUCGCCGAACGUCCAUCUCCAGGUCAGCCUGCUCCCUAGAGGAGGCCACCGUGAGGUCAGGGGGCAAGAGAGGUGGCUGCUGCGGGGAAGCCGGAUGCCCGUCUCCAGGUGACAUUUUAGGUUAUUGGGUCCCAGAUUGCUGGCACACUCAUCCCUGUUCUCAAAUAUCUUUUAAACUUGGGUGAAGUGAUAAGUAGGGGAAGAUGAUUUACUGAAAGCAAUGCAGAGUCUCCCGAGAACAGAUUCAGACUGAACAGAUUUGUGUCAGAAUUUGGGAGACCGCUGGUGCCCAAGAUGUUCUCUGGCAGGUCAAUGACGAAUCUAGGUCCCUCUUUCACUGCUACGUCAAUGAAGUGGGCCACUUCAACAAGGCCAAACCUGGUAUCCCAACCAUAGCCCUUGACAGUGAUGUUCGGCUCCAGGAAGCCAUCAGAUGCAGCAGGUGGCCAGAGGAGGAGCCGAACGUGCUCAUGAAAUGUGACAUCCACAACUUCAUCAACACGGACCAGAACUCUUCCUUUGGGGAAGAUGAUCUCCUGAAUUUCGAACCACCGAUUGUUCUAGAAAAUAAGCCAGUUGCCCAGACCCCACACAAAGACUUGAAUUGAGAAACGUGCUUUGUCAGGUGUCUUUUUGAAGAUAUGAAUUCUGUCUUUGUAUGGCAGGAAUUCCCCUUUCACAAAAUUGUAUGUGUUUGUGUCUGAGAGAGAGAAAUGGAGACAGACAGAAAGACGAAGAAGCAGAAGAGAGCCCCCUCAGAAGAGAGCUAGUUAAGCAUCCCAGACUGACGAAGACAGUGGAGAAUGCCUCUGAGUUUGGCACUGAUUGCCUGGAGAAUGCUGAAACCCAGGGAAGUGGGCAGCACAGACGUUUACUCAUUUAAUCCUGCCAACACAGUAGGAGAUAGAGUCUACAUAUUCCUCGCUACUUAAAAGAAUAACUUCAUAAUCCUGCAUGUUGCUGGUGGCUCCCAUGUUGGACAGCACGGGCCUAGAGAUUUUAAAUUACUUGCCCAGACUCGCCCAGGAAGCUCGUGGUGGGAUCCGAGCUAUAGUCUGGGACUUUUCUUCUUAUCCAACAAGUCCCUCAUGGAAGUUUAGAAGCUUCUUCUUUGGU
Molecule: long non-coding RNA, 1200 nt
Organism: Camelus dromedarius (Arabian camel)
Lineage: Eukaryota; Metazoa; Chordata; Mammalia; Artiodactyla; Camelidae
Exons: 6
Source: RefSeq, a predicted model, not a curated record